Long non-coding RNA from Melospiza melodia melodia, 5117 nucleotides. RefSeq lists it as uncharacterized. The record is from RefSeq and is a predicted model, not a curated record. Lineage: Eukaryota; Metazoa; Chordata; Aves; Passeriformes; Passerellidae. The transcript is spliced from 6 exons.
UUGGUCAUACAUGAUCAGAGAGUGACAAAGCCACAGAAUCACAGAACAAUUAAGGCUAGAAUGGAGCACAUGGGAUCAUCUAGUCCCACUCCUCUGCUUGAGCAGAGUCACUAAGAGCAGGUUGCUCAGGACACUGCCCAGUUCUCCAAAGGAGAAGAAAACUCCACAGUUGCUGUGCUUGAUGACCUUUACUCCAUCUGUCAGAGAACACAAGGACAAAGUGGGAGAAUAAGAAAGUGGAAUGUAAUGGAAGAUCCUUGUAUUCUCAAGGUGAAACAAUCUGAUGAAUACCUCAGAAUACUGCCUGACAGACCUGCAUGAGGUGAUCCAAAGUGUUCCACCAAGCCUGAGCAAACAGCAGCCUUAUGUCCCAGGAUGAAGGCAAACCAGACUGUGAUCCCAGGGGAGUAAGGGGGACAGUGAGCAGCUUCUGAAGAAAUCUGUCUUCUCUGACAUUCUGUGUCAGAUAUGGAAUGAGAGUCAGAGAAAUUGCAGGCAAAGUAAGGACUGGCAUCUUUUGUUCCUGGGCCUCAGUGAAGAAGCAUCCAUUAAAGCCAAGGACUGGACCCCAUAGAGCCAGAGGAGGAAAGGGAGAUGAACGAGCCAUGAAGUCAUCACUGCCACCUCUGAAACACUCCUCAGCUGUGAGGGGUCUCCAGAAGCUGCCCAAGCCAUCAGGAACCAUGGCCAACAAGCUGAAGGCUUAAAAGACUCACCAUAUCCUUUGAAUAUCAAACAAUGGAAAACCACAAAGCAAAUACUUGUGGCCAUCCCAUAUUCAUUGAAUGGCUGUUAAGAACGAACACAUCUACGAGCUUCAACAUCUGUUUUUGAGUGUAGUGCAAAGAAAUUCAGAACCUGAACCAAGUGAGCAUCUGUUUUCUACAUUUUCUGAGUGCUUCUAGAUCUGAGGCCAUGCACCCAGUGCUUGCAAAGGAAGAGUUCUCCUCCAUGUACCAGUGGUCUGGGAGGAGGGCCCUACGGGAUGCCUGUCUCACACCCCUGGAGAAAAGACUGGCCUCCACUAACACACACAGCAGCAACUGAGGACAGCCAGGCAGACUCAGGUAAGCUCAAAGGCUUUUGUCCGUUCAGAAUGAAAAGUACACUGUACUUGACAAUAAACCUGCCAUUUGAAACCUCGGGGGUUUUAAUCUUAUAAAUAAUAGAGUUCAGAGAAGAAGGGGUUUGCAAGUCUGCAUUGCGCUGCCCAGAAUUCAGAUUUAUGUAAUGCACUUGUAGGCACCUGGUGCUGAAAUGCAUGCAAGUGUUUGGGCAUUUGAGAUUCAAAGCCAAUAUUGCCCAAAAAUAUGCAAUGCAACACUAAUAUUUCUCUCUGUUAUGCUGUUUUCCCCAGCUGCUGUGAGAACAUCCAUCACUCAGUGGCAGGUCAGAGCUAUCCAGUCCACUGCAUGCACUAGUACAGCUGUUUGUUUUUUUGUUGAAGAUGCUGUUAGCUAGCAUGAUGUCCACAUCAGAGGAAACCAGGUAAAAUGAGCCAAAGAAGGUGCACAUUACUAAGCACACUGAAACAGUUUUUAUUCAGUAGGGCUGAUAGCAAUUUCUUCUUUGUAAGAAGAAUACCAGCCUACAUAUCUUGAACAAACUAGAAAAGUAGGGUUACUAACUCUCCUGUAUUGAACAAGCAUUUGAAAAGAUUGGUUUAUAAAAUAUAUAGAAAGAGCUAUGGUUUAGAAAUGUAAUAACAAAGGGUAUGGAACUUCAUUUAUUCUUCUUUGAUCAUCAAGAGAAAAGUUGCAGCAGUUCAACUGCAAAAUGAAUUAGUCCCUCAAAUGCUUUCAGGCAUCAAAAUAAUUCCUACUGUUUUAGGAUGUGAAAAAUUGUUUUGAAAAAUUCAGCAGUAUAAAAAAAGGAUCUGUUAAGCACAUUAAAGGCUGUCUUUUUCUGCAAGUGCAUUCAGAAAAGAGGGAGCAUUUCUUUAGCUCCCUAUUGCACUUUAAAAAUGCAGAAUACUGAAAUGGCAAGCAUGAAGCUGUCAGGCCAUGCAGCUUCCCUGUGGGGAGGUUAUCACAUGCAGCUUUGCUGGCUUAUUCAUUGCUUGCAGCUCUUCCAAUCAGAUAACCUUAACAAACAUGGUGCUAUCAAUUGCCAGAUGUGGUACAUGCUAUGCAGCAUCUAGUUUUUGACAGACUAAAAUGGAACAGACAAUUCUUCUCUUUAUGUAAUCAACCAUCAGUCACACUAUGAGAUUCACAAGGAGUAUCUGGAAGUGCUGUCAAGUGCCAAUUAGUGGUGUUGCUAACCCAAAAGGUAAAGAAGAUUGUAGAAGCAGCCCAGUAUAAUUCUCCACUCCAGUGUCCUUAAAGUGGGCUAUCAUUUAUGAAUGUACUCCUACAGAUGAAAGAGAAAUGGGAGGUCAGUGGUUCCUGUCUUCAACAAUCUUCUGCAAUCUUGUCAUAAUGAAUUGUAAAUAGUAUCACUAUCAUCCUCCUCUUCCUGCACUGGAAACCAGCACAAAUGGCUCUGCAGAGCCAAACACUGACAGUGCUGCUCCUCAGGACACAAAGCUGAAGGCUGCCCUCUGUCCUCUGCCUGCCCGGCUGUGUGUGGCUCUGCAGGGCUGGGCUCACCCUUUCUGCCUUGCCACAUCCCCCCACUCUCCCAUGGCUCUGGGGUAUGCUCACACCACGGACAUGCAGGGCUGAAAUCCUGAGCUGUUUAUCAUUUGAAGACAAUCUGAAGAUUGAUGAACAAUCAAUGGAAACGUCUUCCUCCCUCUCAGAGCAAUUCUCAGCACAAUCUGGCAAAAUGUCAUUAUCACCUAAUAUGGUUUUAUCAUGAGGUGUUCUUGCUUUCAGAACAGCAAAUGAUUUUUACAAGGUCAGGAGCAGAAUAUCAGGCCUGGGUGUUGGCCAUCUUGAACUGCAUAAUGAAGACACGUUCUUCAAAAGGCAGCAUUACCCUGGUGCACAGAGAAUACCUGACAAGCUUGGAUUUGAAGUGACCAGCCUAUGUGCAUCCUUUCCUUUUAAUUUUUACAGUAUCCAGUAGUCAGUGUAGAUACAAUGCAUUAUUAAUUAGCAUAUACAAAUCCUAUUUAUAUUAAAAAAGCUUGCUUAGUGAAGGAGACAUAAUUCCUGUUAUUACCAUUCCAAAUAGCAAAAAACAAAUAUUUUCUACAGAGUAAUAAAAACACAAGAUGAGAGCAACAAACUUGGAAUAUAUUUGUACUCUACACGCUUCUUUUUUAUGUGGGACUACUGUUUUUCAUGGUAAAUUAUACAUGCUGACAGAAUUUUUCUGAGUGUACCUAUGCUCCUGAAUGACAAUGUUCUGAAAGAGCAGUGCUGAAGAGACUUAUCAUAUGGAUGUAUAAUAUUAAUACUACACAGCUACUGUGUAUGCAAUAGACUUGUGACUUCUUAAAAUACAUGUGCAUGGAAGGGGUGCCAAAUCACUUCAGAGCUCCCUGGGCAAGCAUAAGUUGGUGCAGAAAACUCUACACCAUGAAUCCCUGAAACAGUUUGUAUAAAAUCAGCAACAUAUAUGUAGAGUCCAAUGAAUCUGGGGCAUCUCUCCACUACCACUAAAAACAGAUGUUGUAUAAACAUUAAAAAAAGUUGAGCAAACUUUGAGCUUUUCAUGUAUUGGAUUCUAUGGGAAUGCAAUGAAAAAGUCUUGUCAAUGCAGAAAAGACCAGAUCAAGCUGGCAAAUCAUCUCUCUGUGUCAUAAUUUAGCAAACAAGGAGAGCUAUUCCCUGGAAGGUGCCAGACAAUUAGAAGCCAAGUCACAGCAACAAAGCUGCUCCUACCCAGUGUGAACCCUUUGUCAAGGAAUGGAAACAAUUUACAGUGUUUUCAGAACUGUAGUUCAGGUCACUUCAUUUUUAUGCUCUCCCAUAUGGUUCUGCUCCUUCUAUUUCCAGAGUGAACCCUAUUUACCUGGACGGGUACAGCAGAAAAUAUAUUGUUUGCAGAGAAAGUGAGAGUCAUCAAUAAAGAAAACUUCUCAAGAUAGGUAUAUUGAGUAUGUGUAUUGGCUUGAUCUGACAAGGGAAGAAAAUGGCAAACAACUUGUUUUCUCCUUGAGAGGCAUCUGAGAGCAGGGAACCACUCAGGUGCUGCAUUGUGCCUUCCAGAGGCUCAGCAAUAAAAGUACAGUCUGGGUGGAGAGAGCAAAUAAAGUGGCUUCCAGCCACAUCUUUGUCUCUAUGAAUCUGAGCCUGGCAAAAGACCAAACAUCAUUUGCACCAGCUUUUCACUUCCCCCAGGCAUGUAAAGAGAAAAAAUCCAUUCAACCCUUCCAUGCAUAACUGUCAGCAUGGACCAUAUCAAGUGGUCAUACCUCUGCUGUCCCCCAACAUGAGAGCAGAAAGGACAUAUGCAAUUAACAGAAAACUCUCUAUGCCACAACACUCCUUAUCUGGAGGGUCUGGGCUUUCCUCACCACAAAUGAGGUGGUGAGCCACCUUUCACAGUGGCUUUCACCCACUGAACCACAGCAAAGCAAUUCUUCUCUUGUUCCUGAGCACAGACCACCCACCCGAAAUACUAUAGCUCUUACAGCCAUCCUUGGAAAAAUUCUUUCCAUAGUAAAGAUCCUGCACACAGUAUGAUUGCUCCAGGUCUACAUUAGAUUAACACAGAGCAUCCAAAAUGCUUAGGAAAUGGGAUGUUGUUUCCCUUAACAAAUGGUUCAGUAUGUUGUCCAUACUGAAGUGACACAUUAGGUUGGAGUUUUCAGCUUUUGGAAGGCAGCCAUGGAAGACAGAAACCAUAUGAUGCCAGAGUGGAUUUAUACUCGUUAACUUACAUGAGACUGGCACAAGCCUCCAAAUAUUAGCCCAUGAUUUUUGUAAAAAAAAAAAGAAGCAAGACUUUGGGGUGGUAGCAGAGCCUUCAUUGCUAGCAGCUGCAAUGGGCAAUAAUCUUAGACAGGGAACUACAGUAUUUAGUUAAAAAUGGAAAGGAAUAGUAGCUUAGCACCUCUUUCAGAAAAGGUGAAGUUAAAUGCAAAAGGAGAAUGUCUUCUCCAUGAAGCAGCACUGAAAAAUACUUUUACAUUCAUGUGACAUUGAGAAACAAAUGACAAAGAAUUUUCCAUUAAUAAUUUAAUUUGGGGGCCAAAGGGCCCUCAAUAACAUCAUAAGCAUGUA